This 385-nucleotide ribosomal RNA is filed under the name uncultured bacterium. Its description in RNAcentral is "bacterial SSU rRNA". It matches the Rfam family "Bacterial small subunit ribosomal RNA", at positions 123 to 541 of the family's 1533-position model. The record is from RNAcentral.
UAUCUACCCUUUGGCCUGGAAUAACACGAGGAAACUUGUGCUAAUACCGGAUAAGUCUUUACGGAGAAAGCUUUAUGCACCAUUGGAUGAGCCUGCACUUGAUUAGUUUGUUGGUGGGGUAAUGGCCUACCAAGACUGUGAUCAAUAGCUGAUUUGAGAGGAUGAUCAGCCACAUUGGGACUGAGACACGGCCCAAACUCCUACGGGAGGCAGCAGUGGGGAAUCUUGCACAAUGGAGGAAACUCUGAUGCAGCGAUGCCGCGUGAGUGAAGAAGGCCCUUGGGUUGUAAAGCUCUUUCGUCGGGGAAGAAAAUGACUGUACCCGAAUAAGAAGGUCCGGCUAACUUCGUGCCAGCAGCCGCGGUAAUACGAAGGGACCUAGCGU